UAGGAUUUGGUAUAGUUUGGUAGUACGGAGAUUUUUGAGUUCUCAGGGUUAGGUUCAAGUCCUAUAAUCCUAG
This 73-nucleotide transfer RNA is filed under the name Procyon lotor (raccoon). Its description in RNAcentral is "transfer RNA-Gln". It matches the Rfam family "tRNA". Rfam says of the family: Transfer RNA (tRNA) molecules are approximately 80 nucleotides in length. Their secondary structure includes four short double-helical elements and three loops (D, anti-codon, and T loops). The record is from RNAcentral. Lineage: Eukaryota; Metazoa; Chordata; Mammalia; Carnivora; Procyonidae.